Molecule: unclassified non-coding RNA, 391 nt
Filed under: soil metagenome
Description: partial contains 5.8S ribosomal RNA, internal transcribed spacer 2, and large subunit ribosomal RNA
Rfam family: 5.8S ribosomal RNA (bases 1-122)
Source: RNAcentral
GAUGAAGAACGUAGCGAAAUGCGAUACUUGGUGUGAAUUGCAGAAUCCCGUGAACCAUCGAGUCUUUGAACGCAAGUUGCGCCCGAAGCCACUAGGCCGAGGGCACGCCUGCCUGGGCGUUACACGUCGUUGCCCCCCCAUCUACUCCUUCGGGAUUGCGGGGGGGCGGAUGAUGGCCUCCCGUGCGCCUAGCCGCGCGGUUGGCAUAAAUACCAAGUCCUCGGCGACGCACGCCACGACAAUCGGUGGUUGCGAAACCUCGGUUGCCCGUCGUGUGCGUUCGUCGCGCAUCGAGGGCUCGAAAAAAUGCUCGGCUUCGGCUCGGCUUUCAACGCGACCCCAGGUCAGGCGGGGUUACCCGCUGAAUUUAAGCAUAUCAAUAAGCGGAGGA